CCUACGGGGGGCAGCAGUGGGGAAUAUUGGACAAUGGGGGCAACCCUGAUCCAGCCAUGCCGCGUGUGUGAAGAAGGCCCUCGGGUUGUAAAGCACUUUCAGCGAGGAAGAACGCCUGGUGGUUAAUACCCAUCAGCAAAGACAUCACUCACAGAAGAAGCACCGGCUAACUCCGUGCCAGCAGCCGCGGUAAUACGGAGGGUGCGAGCGUUAAUCGGAAUUACUGGGCGUAAAGCGCGCGUAGGUGGCGUGAUAAGCCGGUUGUGAAAGCCCCGGGCUCAACCUGGGAACGGCAUCCGGAACUGUCAAGCUAGAGUGCGGGAGAGGAAGGUGGAAUUCCCGGUGUAGCGGUGAAAUGCGUAGAGAUCGGGAGGAAUACCAGUGGCGAAGGCGGCCUUCUGGACUGACACUGACGCUGAGGUGCGAAAGCGUGGGGAGCAAACAGGAUUAGAUACCCGGGUAGUC
Molecule: ribosomal RNA, 465 nt
Filed under: Vreelandella stevensii
Lineage: Bacteria; Pseudomonadati; Pseudomonadota; Gammaproteobacteria; Oceanospirillales; Halomonadaceae
Description: partial 16S ribosomal RNA
Rfam family: Bacterial small subunit ribosomal RNA
Source: RNAcentral